RNAcentral lists this ribosomal RNA (407 nucleotides) under uncultured bacterium. Its description in RNAcentral is "partial 16S ribosomal RNA". It matches the Rfam family "Bacterial small subunit ribosomal RNA", at positions 30 to 526 of the family's 1533-position model. The record is from RNAcentral.
AUUGAACGCUGGCGGCAGGCCUAACACAUGCAAGUCGAGCGGAGCGGGGGACGGGUGAGUGAGGAAUAGGAAGCUUCCUGGUAGUGGGGGAUAACAUACGGAAAAGGGCGGUAAUACAGCAUACUAGCCGAUGAGUCUGGGUCGGAUUAAUUAGUUGGUGGGGUAAAGUCCUACCAAGGCGACGAACCGUAACUGGUCUGAGAGGAUGAUCAGUCACAGUGGAAAUAGGACACUGUCCAGAAUCCUACGGGAGACAGCGGUGAGGAAUAUUGGACAAUGGGCGAAAGCCUGAUCUAGGCAUGCCGGGUGUGUGAAGAAGGUCUUCGGAGUGUAAAGCACUUUAAGUUUGGAGGCGUUACCAACAGAAUAAGCACCGGCUAACUUCGUGCCAGCAGCCGCGGUAAUAC